This 1113-nucleotide long non-coding RNA is filed under the name Salmo salar (Atlantic salmon). RNAcentral's name for it is "lncRNA (ENSSSAG00000104749.1)". The record is from RNAcentral. Lineage: Eukaryota; Metazoa; Chordata; Actinopteri; Salmoniformes; Salmonidae.
GUAACAUUCUGAGUAUGUUGUUUAUCACUAGCAGCACCAUAUCAUCAGGUAACAUUCUGAGUAUGUUGUCUAUCACUAUCAGCACCAUAUCACCAGGUAACAUUCUGAGUAUGUUGUCUAUCACUAGCAGCACCAUAUCACCAGGUAACAUUCUGGGUGUGUUGUCCAUCACUAGCAGCACCAUAUCACCAGGUAACAUUCUGGGUGUGUUGUCCAUCACUAGCAGCACCAUAUCACCAAGUAACAUUCUGGGUAUGUUGUCUAUCAGCACCAUAUCACCAGGUAACAUUCUGGGUAUGUUGUCUAUCAGCACCAUAUCACCAGGUAACACUCUGGCUGUGUUGUCUAUCAGCACCAUAUCACCAGGUAACAUUCGGAGUAUGUUGUCAAUCAGCACCAUAUCACCAGGUAACAUUCUGGGUGUGUUGUCUAUCAGCACCAUAUCACCAGGUAACAUUCUGAGUAUGUUGUUUAUCACUAGCAGCACCAUAUCAUCAGGUAACAUUCUGAGUAUGUUGUCUAUCACUAUCAGCACCAUAUCACCAGGUAACAUUCUGAGUAUGUUGUCUAUCACUAGCAGCACCAUAUCACCAGGUAACAUUCUGGGUGUGUUGUCCAUCACUAGCAGCACCAUAUCAUCAGGUAACAUUCUGGGUAUGUUGUCUAGCAGCACCAUAUCACCAGGUAACAUUCUGGGUGUGUUGGCAAUCAGCACCAUAUCACCAGGUAACAUUCUGGGUGUGUUGUCUAUCAGCACCAUAUCACCAGGUAACAUUCUGGGUAUGUUGUCUAUCAGCACCAUAUCACCAGGUAACAUUCUGGGUGUGUUGUCUAUCAGCACCAUAUCACCAGGUAACAUUCUGAGUAUGUUGUUUAUCACUAGCAGCACCAUAUCAUCAGGUAACAUUCUGAGUAUGUUGUCUAUCACUAUCAGCACCAUAUCACCAGGUAACAUUCUGAGUAUGUUGUCUAUCACUAGCAGCACCAUAUCACUAGGUAACAUUCUGAGUAUAUUGUCUAUCACUAGCAGCACCAUAUCACCAGGUAACAUUCUGAGUAUGUUGUCUAGCAGCACCAUAUCACCAGGUAACAUUCUGGGUGUGUUGGCAAUCA